RNAcentral lists this ribosomal RNA (433 nucleotides) under uncultured bacterium. RNAcentral describes it as "partial 16S ribosomal RNA". It matches the Rfam family "Bacterial small subunit ribosomal RNA", at positions 29 to 507 of the family's 1533-position model. The record is from RNAcentral.
AACGAACGCUGGCGGCAUGCCUAACACAUGCAAGUCGAACGAGACCUUCGGGUCUAGUGGCGCACGGGUGCGUAACGCGUGGGAACCUGCCCUUAGGUUCGGAAUAACUCCCCGAAAGGGGUGCUAAUACCGGAUAAUGUCUUCGGACCAAAGAUUUAUCGCCUUUGGAUGGGCCAGCGUUGGAUUAGCUAGUUGGUAGGGUAAAAGCCUACCAAGGCGACGAUCCAUAGCUGGUCUGAGAGGCUGAGCAGCCACACUGGGACUGAGACACGGCCCAGACUCCUACGGGAUGCAGCAGUGGGGAAUAUUGGACCAUGGGCGAAAGCCUGAUCCAGCAAUGCCGCGUGAGUGAUGAAGGCCUUAGGGUUGUAAAGCUCUUUUACCCGUGAUGAUAAUGACAGUACCGGGAGAAUAAGCUCCGGCUAACUCCGUG